UACGAAGGGGGCUAGCGUUGCUCGGAAUCACUGGGCGUAAAGGGUGCGUAGGCGGGUCUUUAAGUCAGGGGUGAAAUCCUAGAGCUCAACUCCAGAACUGCCUUUGAUACUGGCGACCUUGAGUCCGGGAGAGGUGAGUGGAACUGCGAGUGUAGAGGUGAAAUGCGUAGAUAUCAGGAGGAACACCUGUGGUGUAGACAGCUUACUGGACCACUUCUGACGCUGAGGCACGAAAGCGUGGGGAGCAAACAGG
Molecule: ribosomal RNA, 253 nt
Filed under: uncultured bacterium
Lineage: Bacteria
Description: partial 16S ribosomal RNA
Rfam family: Bacterial small subunit ribosomal RNA
Source: RNAcentral